AUGAGCCACCAGGCCGGCGGCGACGAGAUGGCUCUCCGCCGCCGCCGCCACCCGCGGACGGCCGCGCCGCUGGACAACGAGGACCUCCUCGGGGAGAUCCUCCUCCGCGUCCCCCCGAUGCCCUCCUCGCUCCUCCGCGCCGCCCUCGUCUCCAAGCUAUGGGAAGGCGUCGCCGCCGCCCCCGCCUUCCGCCGCCGCUUCGUCGCCCACCACCGGAGGCCCCCCGUCCUCGGCUUCUUCGAGAAGGGCGACGGGGAGCUGGUCUUCACACCCAUCCUCGACCGCCCCGACCGCAUCCCUCGCGCGCGCUUCUCCCUGCGGCCCGGCGGCGACGGCGACGAUUUCCCGUUCAAUUCGUGGGUUCUGCUCGGGUGCCGCCACGGCUGGGUCCUUAUGGUCAUCCGGUUUUGGCCUAUGUUCCUCGUGUUUCAUCCUGUCUCCGGUGACUGCCGCAGCGUCGACAUUCCGUCAGAUUUCUUACAGUGUGUGCACGACUUCAGCGGAGGCGUGCUCUGCGCUGUAGGGGACGACCAGGGCCACGUGCACGGAGACUGCCACCCAUGCCCCUUCAAGGUUGUCUUGGUAGGCACCAGAGAGAAACAAGAUCUAACCGUCGCCUGGGUUUACUCCUCAGAGACCGGCAUGUGGGGAGAUCAAGUUUCGACGACGCAACCAUGUGCCGGUUUGGUCUACAAUCUCCCCGGUAUGGUUAACCGUCUCCCCUGCACGCUUGUGGGCAAUGUCCUCUACUGGUUGUUGCAUGGGUCGGACAAUGGCAUACUCGAGUUUGAUUUGGAUAGCCAGAGACUAGCUGUGACAGAGAGGCCUUCAAGUGCGGGCAUCAACCGCGGCAACAGUCGGAUCAUCAGGUUAGAGGAUGGCAGUGUUGGCCUCGCUGUAUUUUUGUAUCCGAGCUUCAAUAUGUGGAAACGCAAGGUCAGUAGUCAGGGUGUUGCCUCAUGGGUGCGCCACAAGAUUAUUGACAUUCACAAGAUCAUUGGUCUGCCACGUCGGAUUAAGACAGGGAAGGGAGCUAUAGUCGGGUACUCCGAGGAUGCUAACGCGGUUUUUAUAUCGGUGUCUGGCUAUUUACAAUACUAUGCCUUCAUUGUUCAACUUGAGGCCAUGCAGUCCAGGAAACUUAAUCAAAUAUUUUUCGAGAAGUCCUACCAUCUGUUCGCACAUUUCUAUACUGCAGGUACAGUUCCAGCCAUUGAGCCAACACAGCAGCAAAGUACUGUUCCAGCAAUUGAGCCACCACAGCUGCAGGGUACAUAA
Molecule: ribosomal RNA, 1278 nt
Filed under: Triticum aestivum (bread wheat)
Lineage: Eukaryota; Viridiplantae; Streptophyta; Magnoliopsida; Poales; Poaceae
Description: partial small subunit ribosomal RNA
Source: RNAcentral